Molecule: long non-coding RNA, 611 nt
Organism: Myodes glareolus (Bank vole)
Lineage: Eukaryota; Metazoa; Chordata; Mammalia; Rodentia; Cricetidae
Source: RefSeq, a predicted model, not a curated record
GCUGGGGGAGAAAUAACAGCAGCAGUGUUAAUCCUGCAAGCUACUGUGACUGGCUUGGCAAGGUUGCUUCUGUCAGAUAUUUGUCACUCCAAGAAGAUGAACAGUCAUAGCUAAGGAGCUAAGUAAGUUCACAUACUCAGCUGCUGCUGCUGUUCUUCACUGACAUCUGGACCUAGGUUCUUCAGUACUUCAACAUAGACAUGAACAGUGGAUUUCCAAAACCCCAUUGGCACCAAAUUGGAACUGAGGAAGCACCAAGCCUAAGUGAACUAAUCAACUACCAAUUUCUUAGUCUUUCCGAUAUGAAGAUAGACAUUGUUGGACAACUCAGACCACAUUGUGUAAGCUGAUCUAAUAAAUUCCCCUUUAAUAUAUAUAUAUUUCUUCUAUUGCUUCUGUUUCUUUAGAGAAUCCGAAUUAUUACAUGGUAUAUCUGUGGCUGUUUCUGAUAGUUAAAUGCUAAGAAUGUAGACAUGAACCACCAUACCCAGCUUAGAAGAAUCGGCAGGAAGAAAUGUUUUUCUUUAUGGAAGUAUUUAACUUUCUGAACAGUAGAUUUUUCUCAUUCACAAAUUGUUUUUGAUGUUUAUUUGUUAACCACUUGGCCUCUU